CCCGCUGAACUUAAGCAUAUUAAUAAGCGGAGGAAAAGAAACUAACAAGGAUUCCCCUAGUAACGGCGAGUGAAGCGGGAAGAGCUCAAGCUUAAAAUCUCCGUGCAAGUUUUGCGCGGCGAAUUGUAGUCUAUAGAGGCGUGAUCAGUGUGGGCGCUUGUUUUAAGUUCCUUGGAAGAAGACAGCAUGGAGGGUGAUACUCCCGUUCAUCCCUGAGUUGCUCGUGCGUACGAUCCGUUUUCUUUGAGUCGCGUUGUUUGGGAAUGCAGCGCAAAGUAGGUGGUAAAUUCCAUCUAAAGCUAAAUAUUGGUGCGAGACCGAUAGCGAACAAGUACCGUGAGGUGAAAGAUGAAAAGAACUUUGAAAAGAGAGUUAAAGAGUACCUGAAACUGCUGAAGGGAACCGAAUCGUUUCCAGUGUCUAUAAUCCGUGGUAUAUUUCAUUGGCGAGUGUGUGCGUGCGUGUGCUGUGGCAGCGGCUUUUUUGGCUGCGCUCGGCGUGUGUGCUGUGUGUGCUUGCUGGUGCCCUGUGCUGCGGUGGGACGUCAAGGUCAGUUCGUAUGCUGCGGGAAAUGGCCGCCGAGGAGGUAGGGCUUACGCUUGCGUUUGUCUGUUAUAUCUUGGUGGACGAGUAGUCGCGGUUGGGACUGAGGUGCCUACAACGUGUUUUUGAGUGGGCCUGUGUCUCUGUGUGCGCCGUGUGCGGAUAGCUUGCUAUGCGUGUGUGGUUGUGUGUGGAUUGAUGUGAGUUUUAACUUGUUGCCGUUCGGGACGUUGACGAAAUGGAGCGAUUUGACCCGUCUUGAAACACGGACCAAGGAGUCUAACAUGUGUGCAAGUGUUAGGGUGUGGAAACCCCAGCGCGAAAUGAAAGUGAAGGGCAGCGUAAGUUGUCUGAGGUAGGAAAUGCUGCGGGCUUCGGUCUGCGGUGUGGCACUAUCGACCGAUCAUGAACCUUCGUGGUGAAAGAUUUGAGUUUGAGCACAUAUGUUGGUACCCGAAAGAUGGUGAACUAUGCCUGAGUAGGGUGAAGCCAGGGGAAACUCUGGUGGAAGCUCGUAGCGAUUCUGACGUGCAAAUCGAUCGUCAAACUUGGGUAUAGGGGCGAAAGACUAAUCGAACCAUCUAGUAGCUGGUUCCCUCCGAAAUUUCCCUCAGGAUAGCAGCAACUUAUUUACGAUAGUUUUAUGAGGUAAAGCGAAUGAUUAGAGGAUUCGGGGAAGAAACUUCCUCGACCUAUUCUCAAACUUUAAAUCUGUAAGACCUGCAGGUUUCUUAAUUGAACUUGUGGAUGUGAAUAUCAAGUUGCUAGUGGGCCAUACGGGGUAAGCUCGUCUGGCGAUGCGGGAUGAACCGAACGCAAAGUUAAAGUGCCAAAAUGCUCGCUCACCUAGAUACCAUAAAAGGUGUUGGUUCAUUUAGACAGCAGGACGGUGGCCAUGGAAGUCGGAAUCCGCUAAGGAGUGUGUAACAACUCACCUGCCGAAUGAACUAGCCCUGAAAAUGGAUGGCGCUAAAGCGGGCUACUUAUACUUUGCCGUUAGCGCGAUAGCAUUUAUAAUGUACGCGUUAAUGAGUAGGAGGGCGUGAAGGUCGUGAAGAAGCUCGUGGCGUGAGCCUGAGUGAACGGCCUUUAGUGCAGAUCUUGGUGGUAGUAGCAAAUAUUCAAAUGCGAACUUUGAAGACUGAAGUGAAGAAAGGUUCCGUGUGAUCAGUAAUUGGACACGGGUGAGUCGAUCCUAAGAGAUAGGAUAAUUCCGUUUGAAAGCUGGGCUGUUUGAGGCGUGGGGUUCGUCCUUGCGUUUUGUAUGCAGCCUCGUGUAUCGAAAGGGAAUCAGGUUAAUAUUCCUGAACCGAGACGUGGAUAAUAUGUGGUAACACAACCGACCCAGGAGACGCUAGCGUGUGCCCAGGGAAGAGUUCUCUUUUCUUUUUAACAAGCAUAUCCUACCUUGGAAACGGAUUAUCCGGCGAUAAGGAGGAUGCCUUGGCAAAGCACUUUACUUUUUGAAGUGUCCUGCGCGCCCACGACAGCCCUUGAAAAUCCUGGCUAGAGAUUUAUUCGCACCCUCGUUUCGUACUCAUAAACGCAUCAGGUCUCCAAGGUUAGCAGCCUCUAGUU
Ribosomal RNA from Phytophthora infestans T30-4, 2121 nucleotides. It matches the Rfam family "Eukaryotic large subunit ribosomal RNA", at positions 24 to 1888 of the family's 3401-position model. NCBI's taxonomy places the organism in Eukaryota, Oomycota, Peronosporomycetes, Peronosporales, Peronosporaceae. The record is from Rfam.